This 1520-nucleotide long non-coding RNA is filed under the name Cervus hanglu yarkandensis (Yarkand deer). Its description in RNAcentral is "lncRNA (ENSCHYG00000000288.1)". The record is from RNAcentral. Lineage: Eukaryota; Metazoa; Chordata; Mammalia; Artiodactyla; Cervidae.
UAGAGACAUUUGGGAAGAGGUGUUGAGUGUUUUAUAAAAGAAGAACUUCAGAUCGAGCCUAAUUAACCUUGGUCCGAAUUACCUAGCUUACUCCAUUAAGAAUGUGCAUUUGGGAGUCAGGUUGCCUUGAUUUGAACAUUACCUCCACCGCUUUAGAUUCCUGGAUAAGUUAUUUCACCUCCCCGAGCCUCAGUUUCCUCCUCUGUGAAAUGGGAAUAAGUACAGUACCUACCACACAAAGUGAAGAUGAGAUAAGGUAACAUACAUAAAACCCUUACCUGAUUGUGUGGCAUUUAGAAAACAUUUAGUGAUUGUUGGCUGUUAUGAUUUAUUAUUGCUGUCUUCUUUAUGAUUAUCCACACAACACCAACUCUGUACCAAGCCUUGUACUUGGCACUGCAACCACGAAGAGGAAUAAAACUGUCUCUGUGCUCCAGGAGUUCAUAGUCAAAUACACAGGGCAGGUGAAAGUCAGCAGGCAGCUGUUCACAUAUUAGUAUGAAUUAGCUUCAUAAACCACUUGUCUCUGAAAGGGGGAAGUUUGUGAGAUCAAGUCCGUAGGAGAGAGAGGUUCAUACCGUGGAAAACACUUGCCUGCACCUAGAACAUCAGGGGAAUUCAUCCAUCCUGUUUUGUUGUACUGGGAUCAGAGUGGGGAUACAGAGCUGACCUCUGGGACAGAAACCAGGGAAAUCAGCUUCCAGGCAGAUUCUUCCAGAUUUUGCUGGUCCUUGGCCUGAGGAAGUUCCCUGCAGGAGGUGGGGGAGGGGGAAGGCAUCCGCCUAAAGUGCCAGAAAGGAAAAAUCUUCUGGGCCUGCCAAAAGCACAUCAUUGUUCCCACCAUACCCCAGCCUCAGACCCACCUCUGCGGGGACCUCCGCCCUGCCUUGGCCUUGAACUUGGGAACGCUGACUUCUCUGCAUUCUGUUCGCUCGGGAAGAGCUGCGCGGCCUCUUCUGGGAAGUAGGCUCGACCUCCUGCCCAUGUUCCCUGCUCCUCCCCUCGACGGGGGCAGAGACUGCACGGGGCCUGGGCCACCGCCGUGGUCUGUGAGGAGGCUCGGUUCAGAGACGCCAGCUGGGGCUGGACACAGACCACAGGCCAGCAGGAAACCGACAGUCCUCUGCUCGCUGUGAAGCCAAGACUCAAGUUUUGCUCCAGCUUGGAGUCGGGCAUCCUGUAGCACACCCGGACCCCAGCUGGACCGCAUUGCCAAGGCCUUUCUGAUGGCGGUGAGGAGCUUGUCCGUCGGUCCAGCACCCCCACCUUCGCUUCGGCACGGGAACAAAGUGAGCCCAGGGUGCAGCCGAGAUCUGAUGAAAGUGACACAGCGGGUUGGUGGCAGGGGUCACAUCUAGGCCCAGGCCUCCUGACUUCCGGUGGCCGGGAAGUUCAGAAUAAACGCAGGCAUGAAUGAACAGGUGUAUGAAAAUCCUGAUGCCUAUGCCCCUGCCACAGUGACGGGAAAUUAAGAAUCCAUUAGACAGCUCUUCAUGAGGAAUCGAGAGGACCAGGACACU